GAUGAACGCUAGCUACAGGCUUAACACAUGCAAGUCGAGGGGAAACGACAUCGAAAGCUUGCUUUUGAUGGGCGUCGACCGGCGCACGGGUGAGUAACGCGUAUCCAACCUGCCCACCACUUGGGGAUAACCUUGCGAAAGUAAGACUAAUACCCAAUGAUAUCCCACGAAGGCAUCCGAAUGGGAUUAAAGAUUUAUCGGUGAUGGAUGGGGAUGCGUCUGAUUAGCUUGUUGGCGGGGUAACGGCCCACCAAGGCUACGAUCAGUAGGGGUUCUGAGAGGAAGGUCCCCCCACAUUGGAACUGAGACACGGUCCAAAACUCCUACGGGAGGCAGCAGUGAGGAAUAUUGGUCAAUGGACGGGAGUCUGAACCAGCCAAGUAGCGUGCAGGAUGACGGCCCUAUGGGUUGUAAACUGCUUUUGUGCGGGGAUAAAGUGUGGGACGCGUCCCAUAUUGCAGGUACCGCAUGAAUAAGGACCGGCUAAUCCGUG
Molecule: ribosomal RNA, 493 nt
Filed under: uncultured bacterium
Lineage: Bacteria
Description: bacterial SSU rRNA
Rfam family: Bacterial small subunit ribosomal RNA
Source: RNAcentral